GACGAACGCUGGCGGCGUACCUAAUACAUGCAAGUCGAGCGAACAGACGAGGAGCUUGCUCCUCUGACGUUAGCGGCGGACGGGUGAGUAACACGUGGAUAACCUACCUAUAAGACUGGGAUAACUUCGGGAAACCGGAGCUAAUACCGGAUAAUAUAUUGAACCGCAUGGUUCAAUAGUGAAAGACGGUUUUGCUGUCACUUAUAGAUGGAUCCGCGCCGCAUUAGCUAGUUGGUAAGGUAACGGCUUACCAAGGCGACGAUGCGUAGCCGACCUGAGAGGGUGAUCGGCCACACUGGAACUGAGACACGGUCCAGACUCCUACGGGAGGCAGCAGUAGGGAAUCUUCCGCAAUGGGCGAAAGCCUGACGGAGCAACGCCGCGUGAGUGAUGAAGGUCUUCGGAUCGUAAAACUCUGUUAUUAGGGAAGAACAAAUGUGUAAGUAACUAUGCACGUCUUGACGGUACCUAAUCAGAAAGCCACGGCUAACUACGUG
RNAcentral lists this ribosomal RNA (497 nucleotides) under uncultured bacterium. RNAcentral's name for it is "partial 16S ribosomal RNA". It matches the Rfam family "Bacterial small subunit ribosomal RNA", at positions 28 to 507 of the family's 1533-position model. The record is from RNAcentral.